CUCAAGCAGGCAAUACCGUUUUCUGUGCUCUUUGCCUGACUAGCAGUAAUCAAUUUGUAGUGCUACCUAACCUAUAAUACAGUGAUCAUAGUGGUGCGGUAGAGGGUGAGUUGAGAUAGGCUGUGCAGGAGCCUCAAACCCUCAGCUUUCAAAUGAAUGCAUGACGAUGCAUGUAGCGAUGGCAGAGUAGAGCAAUAGUGAUUACGUGAGAUCGGCCCGUCUUUUCUAUCCAAAAUUCUGCAUGGCGGUGACAUUCAUCGCUCUGGUGGUGUGGUGACGUAGCAUCCCACCAUGGCCACUGAAUUACUGGAUCUCGGAGUUGCUGGCUUCCCGCCAGUAGUCAUGGACUUUCUGUUCCGGGCCAAUUCUAGCAGUCUACGUGGGAUACACGCACGACACGGACACCAUACAGUAGGAUAAGUACUAAAACUUAGAAUGUAAGUACACUUAGGAUAUAAGUAACACUUUAAUAAACAUCACCUACAGUUUUGCAUGUAAAAUUUAUACUUUUGCUUUGGAACACGAUGACUCGAUUCGUCUUCUUUUUUGUUGGUUUCGCUGUACUUAUUUCGAACCAGGUUUGUAGGCAGAAUUGGUAAGUGGGUCAAUGGGACCAGUAUCAGUACAUCUUCUUUCCACCUAUUUUGUCUUCGUCUCAUGCGACUCCCCCCUUUCCUCGGGCGGGGA
Long non-coding RNA from Armigeres subalbatus, 687 nucleotides. RefSeq lists it as uncharacterized. NCBI's taxonomy places the organism in Eukaryota, Metazoa, Arthropoda, Insecta, Diptera, Culicidae. The transcript is spliced from 3 exons. The record is from RefSeq and is a predicted model, not a curated record.